AACACAUGCAAGUCGAGCGCGAAAGGGACUUCGGUCCUGAGUAAAGUGGCGCACGGGUGAGUAACGCGUAGAUAACCUGUCUUCAUGUCUGGAAUAAUACGCCGAAAGGGGUACUAAUACCGGAUAUCUUGCUUUUCAUAAGUUAUGCAAGCAAAGGUGGCCUCUGCAUAUGCUACUGCAUGAAGAGGGGUCUGCGUACCAUUAGCUAGUAGGUGGGGUAAUGGCCUACCUAGGCGACGAUGGUUAGCGGGUCUGAGAGGAUGAUCCGCCACACUGGCACUGGAACACGGGCCAGACUCCUACGGGAGGCAGCAGUGAGGAAUAUUGCGCAAUGGGGGAAACCCUGACGCAGCGACGCCGCGUGAGUGAGGAAAGGCCUUCGGGUCGUAAAGCUCUGUCAAGAGGAAAGAAGUGUACAAUGGCUAAUACCUGUUGUAUUUGACGGUACCUCUAAAGGAAGCACCGGCUAACUCCGUGCCAGCAGCAGC
Molecule: ribosomal RNA, 488 nt
Filed under: uncultured bacterium
Lineage: Bacteria
Description: bacterial SSU rRNA
Rfam family: Bacterial small subunit ribosomal RNA
Source: RNAcentral